Molecule: ribosomal RNA, 484 nt
Filed under: uncultured Polaromonas sp.
Lineage: Bacteria; Pseudomonadati; Pseudomonadota; Betaproteobacteria; Burkholderiales; Comamonadaceae
Description: bacterial SSU rRNA
Rfam family: Bacterial small subunit ribosomal RNA
Source: RNAcentral
GGCGGCAUGCCUUCACAUGCAAGUCGAACGGUAACGGGUUAAGCCGACGAGUGGCGAACGGGUGAGUAAUACAUCGGAACGUGCCCAAUCGUGGGGGAUAACGUAGUAGAAAUUUACGCUAAUACCGCAUGAGAUCUACGGAUGAAAGCGGGGGAUCGCAAGACCUCGCGCGAUUGGAGCGGCUGAUGUCAGAUUAGGUAGUUGGUGGGGUAAAGGCCCACCAAGCCGACGAUCUGUAGCUGGUUUGAGAGAACGACCAGCCACACUGGGACUGAGACACGGCCCAGACUCCUACGGGAGGCAGCAGUGGGGAAUUUUGGACAAUGGGCGAAAGCCUGAUCCAGCAAUGCCGCGUGCAGGAAGAAGGCCUUCGGGUUGUAAACUGCUUUUGUACGGAACGAAACGGUCUGGGUUAAUACCCUGGGCUAAUGACGGUACCGUAAGAAUAAGCACCGGCUAACUACGUGCCAGCGCCCGCGGUAAU